Molecule: long non-coding RNA, 1791 nt
Filed under: Malus domestica (apple)
Lineage: Eukaryota; Viridiplantae; Streptophyta; Magnoliopsida; Rosales; Rosaceae
Description: long non-coding RNA (MDOM_LNC003876)
Source: RNAcentral
UAAAUUACAUAAAAUUACUUUAACUAUUGGAUCAGUUAUAGUUUCAUACUUCAUCUUUAAAAAAUGUCAAUAUCAUACCUUAUCUUACGAAUUUGUUACAAUUUCAUAUCUUCGGUCAGUUUUUCUAUCAAUUCUUCUGUUAAAUAGUGACAUGACUUGAGACGGAGCCUAUUAUCUAUAAAAAAAAUAAUUAAAUAUUAAAAACUAAAAAAUAAAAUCAUUUAAUAAUUGCAUGGGGGACCCACCCCUUAUCCCCCUCACCCAUUCUUCCCCGCUCCAGUCUUCCCCAAACCCAAAACCAGAUCCCACCCCGCUCUCGUUUUCUUUGCAUCGAUCACUACCGCCACUCUCCCUUCAAUCUCCCUUGCCACUUCUCUGGCUUUGAUGACCACCUUUAGCUGUCACUCACCCACCUCACAUGCGCCACGCCUUAUCCCUUCACUCUUUCUUCCCUAAUUCCACAACCUAGAAUCCGAUUCAAACCCCUCAAUUUUCAAAAUUCGCAUUUCAAAAAAUUGAAUACAAGAUGAACUGAAGUGAUGUCACCACUUAUUGUGAAGUGAGCUUGCUUCAUGUCUCUGGAAAGAUCGACGAUCUUCUUAUGAAGAUUGGAGAGGUUGAGGUCCUGACCGUAGCGUUGAGGAGGGCGAGGCAGCCAGAGAUGGCGACUGUGUGGUCGCGGAGGGAAGAGCAAAGGGAGAGGCAGUUGAUGAUGACGAAGAUUUUGCCCUUGGUUCUGUAGAACGACAGAGUUUUGAGUGUGGAGGUGAGGUCGACGAUGAUGCCCUUAAAGGCGAUGUGGACGAAGGGAGAGAGGGAGUCGAGCGAUGGCGUGGCGCGGGUGAGGUGGGUGAGUAACAGUUGAAGGUGGUUAGCAAAGCUAGAGAAGCAGUAGGGGAGGUCGUAGGGAAAGUGGCGGUAGUGAUCGGCACAGAGAAGACGGGAGCAUGGUGGGAUCUGGUUUUGGGUUUGGGGAAGACGGAAGUGGGGAAGAAAAUGUGAGGGGGAUAGGGGGUAGGUCCCCCAUGCAAUUAUUAAAUGAUUUUAUUUUUAAUUUUUUAAUAUUUAACUAAUUUUUAAUUUUUUAUUAAUUUUUUUAAUAGAGAGUGAGCCCAUCUUAAGCCACGUCACUAUUUAAUGGAAUAAUUGACAGACAAACUAACGGAAUGUAUGAAAUUGUAACAAAUUCGUAAGAUGAGGUAUGACAUUGACAUUUUUUAAAGAUGGGAUAUGAAACUGUGACUGGCUCAAUAGUUGAGGUAAUUUUAUGUAAUUUACCCUUAAUAUUUUGUUAGUUAAUUCAAUCAUAAUUUUGUUUUACAACUUAGUACUAUGGUUUAGUUUUAUUCAUUUUUAUUUGUAAGUGUAAGUGACAUGUUUUAAGUUCAAUUUUUGUCAAAAUCAAAUUUGAACCACAUUGUUGCUUGUCCAUUAUGAGGCUUGAUCCACUUUAUACCCUUAGUAUUGAUAAUAUUGUUUGUUAACAAAAAAAAAAAUUGUUUUGGUUUUUGAAUUUUUUACUUCUUUUUGUGGUUUUACACGUGGCAUGGAACCAGGCAAGAUAAAUGUGAUAUGUGUUUGUUUUGCUCAGGUUAGGGAAGAUUUUACCAUGUUUAUGUUUCCUUGGAGAGAACCUUGGAGUUGGGGUUUGAUUGGAUCCUUGUACACGCUGGCGGGCCCCAACUGUAUUGAGGAUAAUUGUUAGGUUAAAAUAUAGUGAAGUUUCUAUUUUUAGGUUUGUUCUAAUUUUUCAUUAUUUCAUGAUUUUUUUUUUCUCAACCGAAGCCUAAU